Molecule: ribosomal RNA, 1466 nt
Filed under: Salmonella enterica subsp. enterica serovar Stanley
Lineage: Bacteria; Pseudomonadati; Pseudomonadota; Gammaproteobacteria; Enterobacterales; Enterobacteriaceae
Description: partial 23S ribosomal RNA
Rfam family: Bacterial large subunit ribosomal RNA
Source: RNAcentral
AGACCCGAAACCCGGUGAUCUAGCCAUGGGCAGGUUGAAGGUUGGGUAACACUAACUGGAGGACCGAACCGACUAAUGUUGAAAAAUUAGCGGAUGACCUGUGGCUGGGGGUGAAAGGCCAAUCAAACCGGGAGAUAGCUGGUUCUCCCCGAAAGCUAUUUAGGUAGCGCCUCGUGAAUUCAUCUCCGGGGGUAGAGCACUGUUUCGGCUAGGGGGCCAUCCCGGCUUACCAACCCGAUGCAAACUGCGAAUACCGGAGAAUGUUAUCACGGGAGACACACGGCGGGUGCUAACGUCCGUCGUGAAGAGGGAAACAACCCAGACCGCCAGCUAAGGUCCCAAAGUCAUGGUUAAGUGGGAAACGAUGUGGGAAGGCCCAGACAGCCAGGAUGUUGGCUUAGAAGCAGCCAUCAUUUAAAGAAAGCGUAAUAGCUCACUGGUCGAGUCGGCCUGCGCGGAAGAUGUAACGGGGCUAAACCAUGCACCGAAGCUGCGGCAGCGACACUGUGUGUUGUUGGGUAGGGGAGCGUUCUGUAAGCCUGUGAAGGUGUGUCGUGAGGCAUGCUGGAGGUAUCAGAAGUGCGAAUGCUGACAUAAGUAACGAUAAAGCGGGUGAAAAGCCCGCUCGCCGGAAGACCAAGGGUUCCUGUCCAACGUUAAUCGGGGCAGGGUGAGUCGACCCCUAAGGCGAGGCCGAAAGGCGUAGUCGAUGGGAAACGGGUUAAUAUUCCCGUACUUGGUGUUACUGCGAAGGGGGGACGGAGAAGGCUAUGUUGGCCGGGCGACGGUUGUCCCGGUUUAAGCGUGUAGGUGUGUGUUCCAGGUAAAUCCGGUUCACUUUAACACUGAGGCGUGACGACGAGGCACUACGGUGCUGAAGCAACAAAUGCCCUGCUUCCAGGAAAAGCCUCUAAGCAUCAGGUAACAUCAAAUCGUACCCCAAACCGACACAGGUGGUCAGGUAGAGAAUACCAAGGCGCUUGAGAGAACUCGGGUGAAGGAACUAGGCAAAAUGGUGCCGUAACUUCGGGAGAAGGCACGCUGACACGUAGGUGAAGUGAUUUACUCAUGGAGCUGAAGUCAGUCGAAGAUACCAGCUGGCUGCAACUGUUUAUUAAAAACACAGCACUGUGCAAACACGAAAGUGGACGUAUACGGUGUGACGCCUGCCCGGUGCCGGAAGGUUAAUUGAUGGGGUCAGCGCAAGCGAAGCUCCUGAUCGAAGCCCCGGUAAACGGCGGCCGUAACUAUAACGGUCCUAAGGUAGCGAAAUUCCUUGUCGGGUAAGUUCCGACCUGCACGAAUGGCGUAAUGAUGGCCAGGCUGUCUCCACCCGAGACUCAGUGAAAUUGAACUCGCUGUGAAGAUGCAGUGUACCCGCGGCAAGACGGAAAGACCCCGUGAACCUUUACUAUAGCUUGACACUGAACAUUGAGCCUUGAUGUGUAGGAUAGGUGGGAGGCUUU